AACGAACGCUGGCGGCAUGCCUAACACAUGCAAGUCGAACGAGACCUUCGGGUCUAGUGGCGCACGGGUGCGUAACGCGUGGGAACCUGCCCUUAGGUUCGGAAUAACUCCCCGAAGGGGUUGUAAUACCCGGUAAAGUUCUCGGACCAAAGAUUUAUCGCCUUUGGAUGGGCCCGCGUUGGAUUAGCUAGUUGGUAGGGUAAAAGCCUACCAAGGCGACGAUCCAUAGCUGGUCUGAGAGGAUGAUCAGCCACACUGGGACUGAGACACGGCCCAGACUCCUACGGGAGGCAGCAGUGGGGAAUAUUGGACAAUGGGCGAAAGCCUGAUCCAGCAAUGCCGCGUGAGUGAUGAAGGCCUUAGGGUUGUAAAGCUCUUUUACCCGGGAUGAUAAUGACAGUACCGGGAGAAUAAGCUCCGGCUAACUCCGUG
RNAcentral lists this ribosomal RNA (432 nucleotides) under uncultured bacterium. Its description in RNAcentral is "partial 16S ribosomal RNA". It matches the Rfam family "Bacterial small subunit ribosomal RNA", at positions 29 to 507 of the family's 1533-position model. The record is from RNAcentral.